GGAAAGUCCGGGCUUCACAGGGCAGGAUGCCGGAUAACGUCCGGUGGAGGCGACUCCAAGGAUAGUGCAACAGAAAUGUACCGCCGGCGGGCCAAAAGCCUGCCGGUAAGGGUGGAAGGGCAGUGUAAGAGACUACCGCCUUCCCGGUAACGGGAGGGGCAUAUGUAAACCCCAUCCGAAGCAAGACCGAAACGAAGCAUAUGGCGGCCCGUCAGCUUCAGGUAGGUCGCUCGAGCCUGCCGGCGACGGCAGGCCUGGAUAGAUGAUCAUUCACGACAUAACCCGGCUUAUCGUCCUGCUUG
Molecule: RNase P RNA, 302 nt
Filed under: bovine gut metagenome
Description: Bacterial RNase P class A
Rfam family: Bacterial RNase P class A
About the family: Ribonuclease P (RNase P) is a ubiquitous endoribonuclease, found in archaea, bacteria and eukarya as well as chloroplasts and mitochondria. Its best characterised activity is the generation of mature 5'-ends of tRNAs by cleaving the 5'-leader elements of precursor-tRNAs.
Source: RNAcentral